ACACUACCUUUUCUUAAUUGUCAUGAUCCCUUGAAAAGGAGCUUUCUAGAUCUGCUACAUGGCAUUUUUAGAGGAGUUCAUGGAGCCUGAAACCCUCUUGCUGCUGUAGAAAUCUGCUGCUACCUGUCCUGACCACUGUGGAUACAAGAAUAUCCAGAAUUGGAGGGGACCCACUAGGAUCAGAGUCCCACCUGAAAAUCAGACCAAAUGUCAGCAAGCACUUCCAGAUACUUCUUGAAUUCCUGAAGCUUGAUGCUGUGACCACUGUCCUGCGGAGCCUGUUCCAGUUCCUGACCAACUUCUGGUGAAGAGCCUUAGAAUCUUUUCCUGAUGUGCUAUCUGAC
This 344-nucleotide long non-coding RNA is filed under the name Chrysolophus pictus (golden pheasant). RNAcentral's name for it is "lncRNA (ENSCPIG00010013300.1)". The record is from RNAcentral. Lineage: Eukaryota; Metazoa; Chordata; Aves; Galliformes; Phasianidae.